RNAcentral lists this ribosomal RNA (497 nucleotides) under uncultured bacterium. RNAcentral's name for it is "partial 16S ribosomal RNA". It matches the Rfam family "Bacterial small subunit ribosomal RNA", at positions 28 to 507 of the family's 1533-position model. The record is from RNAcentral.
GAUGAACGCUGGCGGCGUGCCUAAUACAUGCAAGUCGAGCGAACAGACGAGGAGCUUGCUCCUCUGACGUUAGCGGCGGACGGGUGAGUAACACGUGGAUAACCUACCUAUAAGACUGGUAUAACUUCGGGACACCGGCUCUAAUACCGGAUAAUAUAUUGAACCGCAUGGUUCAAUAGUGAAAGACGGUUUUGCUGUCACUUAUAGAUGGAUCCGCGCCGCAUUAGCUAGUUGGUAAGGUAACGGCUUACCAAGGCAACGAUGCGUAGCCGACCUGAGAGGGUGAUCGGCCACACGGGAACUGAGGCACGGUCCAGACUCCUACGGGAGGCAGCAGUGGGGAAUCUUCCGCAAUGGGCGAAAGCCUGACGGAGCAACGCCGCGUGAGUGAUGAAGGUCUUCGGAUCGUAAAACUCUGUUAUUAGGGAAGAACAAGUGUGUAAGUAACUAUGCACGUCUUGACGGUACCUAAUCAGAAAGCCACGGCUAACUACGUG